This 448-nucleotide ribosomal RNA is filed under the name uncultured bacterium. RNAcentral describes it as "partial 16S ribosomal RNA". It matches the Rfam family "Bacterial small subunit ribosomal RNA", at positions 330 to 794 of the family's 1533-position model. The record is from RNAcentral.
CCCAGACUCCUACGGGAGGCAGCAGUGGGGGAUAUUGCACAAUGGGGGGAACCCUGAUGCAGCGACGCCGCGUGGGUGAAGGAGCGUUUCGGCGCGUAAAGCCCUAUCGGCAGGGAAGAAGGAGGACGGUACCUGACUAAGAAGCCCCGGCUAACUACGUGCCAGCAGCCGCGGUAAUACGUAGGGGGCAAGCGUUAUCCGGAUUUACUGGGUGUAAAGGGGGCGCAGACGGCAGCGCAAGCCAGGAGUGAAAGCCCGGGGCCCAACCCCGGGACUGCUCUUGGAACUGCGCGGCUGGAGUGCAGGAGGGGCAGGCGGAAUUCCUGGUGUAGCGGUGAAAUGCGUAGAUAUCAGGAGGAACACCGGUGGCGAAGGCGGCCUGCUGGACUGCGACUGACGUUGAGGCCCGAAAGCGUGGGGAGCAAACAGGAUUAGAUACCCCAGUAAU